AAAGCCAGUUGGUGGAACAGUCAGAACACCUCCAACAUUGACUGACUAAGUUCCUUGUCUUAUAUGGAAAAGCACUCAGGCUAGCCUGAAGUCUCCUGUCUAAGACUUUCACUCUAAUUUGAAGACAUCUGAAAAGCAGCUGCCAUAGCUGAAAAGCUAGAGCAGCUGUAAACCAUAAAUCACAAGGGUGAGGAAUUCUGGGCUGCAGAUUGGCAUGUGGUCUGUCAAGCCAAAAAAAUAGAGACAUAAAAGAUCAAGAGGUCAGAGAGGCAGCAAUGAACCACUGGAAUUUUUAAAAUGGAAGAAUGCCUUGGCCAGAUCUUCACCUAAUGAAAAUCACUUUGCUAGGUAUAUGCAGGGUAGAUUGAACUGUGGAGAGAUUUGAGAAAGUUUCAAAUUGAAAUCAACUUGAAAGCCAUUGCAAUA
This 426-nucleotide long non-coding RNA is filed under the name Monodelphis domestica (gray short-tailed opossum). RNAcentral describes it as "lncRNA (ENSMODG00000041181.1)". Lineage: Eukaryota; Metazoa; Chordata; Mammalia; Didelphimorphia; Didelphidae. The record is from RNAcentral.